GCUUGCGCCAUAUUAUUUAGUUGGUAGGGUAAUGGCCUACCAAGACGAUGAUGUGUAGCUGGACUGAGAGGUUGAACAGCCCCAUUGGGACUGAGACACGGCCCAAAUUCCUACGGGAGGCAGCAGUAGGGAAUUUUCGGCAAUGGAGGAAACUCUGACCGAGCAACGCCGCGUGAAUGACGAAGUACUUCGGUAUGUAAAGUUCUUUUAUCAAGGAAGAAAAGCAAAUGGCGAACCAUUUGUUUGCCGGUACUUGAUGAAUAAGCCCCGGCUAAUUAUGUGCCAGCAGCCGCGGUAAGACAUAAGGGGCAAGUGUUAUCCGGAAUUAUUGGGCGUAAAGGGUGCGUAGGCGGUCUAGUAAGUCAGUGGUGUAAUGGCAACGCUUAACGUUGUCCGGCUAUUGAAACUGCUAAACUUGAGUUAGAUAGAGGCGAGUGGAAUUCCAUGUGUAGCGGUAAAAUGCGUAAAUAUAUGGAGGAACACCAGAGGCGUAGGCGGCUCGCUGGGUCUUAACUGACGCUGAGGCACGAAAGCGUGGGGAGCAAACAGGAUUAGAUACCCUGGUAGUCCACGCCGUAAACGAUGAGUACUAAGUGUCGGGUUAAACCGGUACUGAAGUUAACACAUUAAGUACUCCGCCUGAGUAGUACGUACGCAAGUAUGAAACUUAAAGGAAUUGACGGGACUCCGCACAAGCGGUGGAUCAUGUUGUUUAAUUCGAAGAUACCCGAAAAACCUUACCAGGUCUUGACAUGUUUUUGCAAAAUGAUAGUAAUAUCGUGGAGGUUACCAGAAACACAGGUGGUGCAUGGUUGUCGUCAGCUCGUGUCGUGAGAUGUUAGGUUAAGUCCUAAAACGAGCGAAACCCUUAUCGUUAGUUGCCAGCACGUUAUGGUGGGGACUUUAACGAGACUGCCAAUGAUAAAUUGGAGGAAGGUGAGGAUCACGUCAAAUCAGCAUGCCCCUUAUGACCUGGGCUACAAACGUGAUACAAUGGCUGUUACAAAGGGUAGCUGAAACGCAAGUUCUUGGCCAAUCCCCAAAAACAGUCCCAGUCCGGAUCUGAAGUCUGCAACUCGACUUCAUGAAGUUGGAAUCGCUAGUAAUCGCGAAUCAGCAUGUCGCGGUGAAUACGUUCUCGGGGUUUGUACACACCGCCCGUCAAACCACGAAAGUUGGCAA
This 1182-nucleotide ribosomal RNA is filed under the name Brinjal little leaf phytoplasma. RNAcentral's name for it is "bacterial SSU rRNA". It matches the Rfam family "Bacterial small subunit ribosomal RNA", at positions 229 to 1417 of the family's 1533-position model. The record is from RNAcentral. Lineage: Bacteria; Bacillati; Mycoplasmatota; Mollicutes; Acholeplasmatales; Acholeplasmataceae.